RNAcentral lists this unclassified non-coding RNA (178 nucleotides) under uncultured Talaromyces. RNAcentral describes it as "sequence contains ITS1". Lineage: Eukaryota; Fungi; Ascomycota; Eurotiomycetes; Eurotiales; Trichocomaceae. The record is from RNAcentral.
CCGAGUGCGGGCCCUCGCGGCCCAACCUCCCACCCUUGUCUCUAUACACCUGUUGCUUUGGCGGGCCCACCGGGGUCACCUGGUCGCCGGGGGACGCACGUCCCCGGGCCCGCGCCCGCCGAAGCGCUCUGUGAACCCUGAUGAAGAUGGGCUGUCUGAGUACUGUGAAAAAUUGUCA